Molecule: long non-coding RNA, 1915 nt
Organism: Topomyia yanbarensis
Lineage: Eukaryota; Metazoa; Arthropoda; Insecta; Diptera; Culicidae
Exons: 5
Source: RefSeq, a predicted model, not a curated record
GGGCCAACAGAAAACAACAUCAAGAUGCUCGGAAAGGACUUUCUCUUUCGAACAAACAUAAUGGCACGUCAUCUUCAAUCGGCUAACCGUUUGGAAUAAGCGCUCAUCAUCGGUUUCAUGGCAGGGAAGUGAGCAGGCAAAAGAAGGCAUCGUUUUUUCCGCAAGGUCGCUCUGGUCAAAAUUUCAGCGAAUUGCAAGGAAUAAACCACCCGAGGGACAGUACCCGUGGACGAUUUCCCAUACUUUGUACCUUGCUAUUGAAUUUUAAUACCCGAUCGAAACGAUGCCGAUAACUGGGUCAAAAAGACGACGGAUCAAGAAAUUUCUGCACUCGGUUAGCGAACUGAGUACAUAUCAUCGAGGAUAAGGAUUCAGAGCCGGCGGCUGGCAGUCCAGAGAAAGAGAAUGCGGAAAAACCUAGUCCACCGGCAGUAGAACCAAAGCUGCACCUGAUGUUUGGAGUUCGGUAGCUACAGAAAUUCUGACUCUAGCAGCUCCUGAAGAAAAACAAGCUGCAAGAGAAAAUGGAGAAACACCUUCCUCCGCGGAAGAUGCAGAGGCAUUCAACCCGGCGGAUGCAAGUUUGCUAAUGAAAGAUGUUCACUAAGGUCUAGUAGAAUCAAAGCUGGAUCUGAAGGUGCAGCGAAAGGAUUCUUCUUCGCCGGUUGGUUGGUUAAAACUUUCGAAGUUUUGCACGUGAAGCCGGGAUUACUUCAGGGAGUCUAUGCGAUGGGUUUCAACGCCCUUCCAAGAUUCAGGAGAUGGCUCUGUUGGCCGGUCCGCCACGGAAUAUAAUCGCCCAGAGUCAGUCGGGAACAGGAAAAAACCGCUGCCUUUGUGCUGGCAAUGCACAGUUGAGUCCAUCAGUUAAAAAACUAUCUGCAGGUGAUUUGCCUUUCCCCCACGUAUGAGCUGGCAAUUCAGAAGGGGGAAGUAGCUGCCAAAAUGGCAAAGUUUUGUCCGGAAAUCAAACUUCUAUACGCCGUUCGCGGUGAGGAGACCGUCAAAGGGGCGAAGCUGACUAAUCAUAUCAUCAUCGGAACACCCGGCAAGCUAAUUGACUGGGGUAUAAAGUUCAGGACGUACGACCUAGUUUUUCCUUUUUGUACUGGACGAGGCGGGUGUUAUGGUCGGUGUUCUUCUUGGCCACGUACGAGCGCGAGGUAAUGGAGUUUGCCGAGUACAUCGUACCCAAUCCGAUCGUCAUUCGGCAGGCGCGGGAGCAAGAAUCACUCGAUAACAUCAAACAGUACUACGUCAAGUUCCGCAACCAGGACGAGAAAUUGUGUGAUUACCGUCGGACAAGCGAUCAUUUUCUGUCAUAUGAUGUAUAGGACAGUUGUAAACGUCCAAGUAAACUUAUUUUCAGAACUGUUAAUCGAUCGAAACAGGUACGAAAAACGGCCGGUUGGUUGACCUGCAGGAUGUCCCAGGAUGGUCACUCGGUAGCGGUACUGUCCGGUAAUCUAACGGUGGAGCAACGGUUGGAACGAACGUUUUGUCCAGGGGUAUCGACGUCGAACAGGUGACCAUUGUCGUCAACUUCGACCUGCCGAUGGAUUAGCAGGGACGAGCCGAUUGCGAAACGUAUCUACAUCGAAUUAAACGCACCGGUAGAUUCGGUAAGUGUGACUCAUUCUUGUGAUCCUAUAGAUUGUAUUUCUUCCCACUUCUUUAACAGAACGGAAUCACCAUCAACCUAGUGGGCAGUGAUCGAAACAUGAUGAUUUGCAGAUCAAUCAAAAAACACUUCCGGAAAAAGAUUCAGUUGCGCGGAGAACUCGGACGAAAUUGAAAAGAUCGCACCGUAAAGUGUUUUCGACCAGCUACUGGUCAUACUUGUUUUGAUUCUGAAUUUAUAAUUUUAUAUUUUUUUAAUUUACAAAUGUAACCAACAGGGUAUCGCAAGCUAAUA